This is a long non-coding RNA of Mustela lutreola (European mink), 3030 nucleotides long. RefSeq lists it as uncharacterized. The transcript has 2 exons. NCBI's taxonomy places the organism in Eukaryota, Metazoa, Chordata, Mammalia, Carnivora, Mustelidae. The record is from RefSeq and is a predicted model, not a curated record.
GCUCUGCGGGAUUUGUGUAUAGGAAGCACCUUUAUGGGGAAGGAUUCCAGGGGUUGCUUCUUCCACGGGCGGUGGCAGGAAUUUGUGGAGUGGGGCCUCGUGGCCAUUUGGUGGCUCCAAGGACACCGCAUGCGGGGCGUGGUGGCCACCAGACACCCGUGGUGCUGUCUAACCGUGGAGCCACGUGGGCAUUUGUGAGGAUCCUUGCCCUGAGCAGGCCCUGUGUAAUGACCUGGCUUUAUGACGGGCCAUUAAACAAAGGAUGACGGAAACGUUGCCAAGUAAGGCUCCAGCCAGGAUUCAGGCUGAAGGGAAGGCUUGCGUGUCUUCACUCAGUGGCAGAGCCGAGGGGCAUGGUAAGAACUUGGCAUCUGCUUGUCCGAGGCCCUUAGCAGCCGGAUUUGCCAGAGGUGGCAUCGUCCCCCGAGACCCCUCAGCAUUCCAGGUGCUAAGAACAGAGGGGACCCAUUUGGCAUUUGCCCUGAGGGUCCACACGGGCUGGGUAUCUGAGGCCCCUAGGCUGGGGACAGGAGCAAGGGAGGGGGGUACAGGAGAGAAUCCGGGUUCUGUUAAGAGUCCCUCCCACCAGCUGUGUUCCGAGGACAGGCAGGUGCUCUCUGGGAGCAGGGACCUUCUGGACCAAGGAACUCCCGCCCGGAGCUAAAAACGGGUUUUUCUGCAGAAAAGCCUUGUUAAAGCAGGAUCCCCCAGCAUCAGUCACGUGACACCCCCACACCAUCUGCCAAGUCCUUGUCCCACUUGCAGUAUUGUUUGCUUAAUGGUUUAUUAUUUUUUUUCUUUACGUGUCCUUUAAAAGAAAGCUUUAUAUCCCUGUCAUGAGUGAAACUCAGUAUGAUCUGCCGUAGGUGGAGUGGAACACUUUAAAAUAAACACCUGACGCGUAGAACGUGUGUGCCGGUGGACCCCGUGAUGCCAUCGCAUGGACUUCUGUUGUGCUUGGGGAGAUUCUAGCUGUUGCUCUUCCAGGAGGCUCCCCAUGUGCCGGUCAGUCCUGCCUUUCUUGACUGCAGCUCCUGCCCCCACCGCCCUGCCCUUUUUUCAAGGAAUCGGCAAAGAUGGUCCUACAGGGGUCAGAACGGGCCAGCUCCUUGCUACCCAGAUGAUGGUCAACACCACUGGCUAGUGUCCUUCCUGUAUAAAUCCUUUAGGGAUGAAUAAGGUAAAGAUAAGAACAUUCAUUUUUCUAAAAAAAAAAAAAAUACAGGCCACUCAGAAAGGAAGAAACAGGAGGACAUAAGCAUGUAAACAGGCCAGUUAAUCAAUGAAACAACAAAAUACUUUUUUGUUUUGCCUGCCGGAUUCGCAGCUCAGUGGGCAGCGUGUUUCUGUGGUGCACCGCCCAGGACCCUGAAAAUCCUCGUGAACUUGUUCGGGGUCUGUCGGGCAGAACGGGCCCUGAGACUCAAAAUGUGCCCGAGUAAUUCUCCUUCUAGGAAUUUAGUCCAGAGGCAGGGAAAGGCAUAUGGCCACGGGUGUCCAUCGUAACACGGAGAUGGAGACAACCUAGAUACCCAGCAGCGUGAAAUUGGGGAAGUAAAUUACAGGGUGUGGUGCCGCCCACACAACCGUGUACUGUGCAGUCACUCGACAGAAAUGUAUGGGGAGGCGUCAGUGUGCCAGGCACAAUUCUGGGCUCUGGGGACACUUGAGUGAGCAGUAGAGACAAGACUCCAGCCUAAUGGAAGUGAGAAAGGUUGGGUGGAUGGAUGGAUGCCUGGAUGGAUGGAUGGAUGGGAGUCGUACGGUGAGGGCAACGGGCGAGGGAGUCCUUCAUCCAGGGAACUGGGGACAGGCGUCCCUGAGAAGGGGACAUGGGGACAGUCCUCAAGGGGAGAGCAAGCCGUGGAUCUCUGGGACAGACAUUCCAGGCAGAGAGAAUGAGGCUCCUCUGAUGGCCCUGCGCUGGGAGCUUGCCUGGCGGCCCCAAGAGCAACAGUGGGGAGGCGAACGGAGAAGAUGAGAGGAGACGGGGAAAUGAGAGGGAGCGGGCUGCUCCCAGCAAGUCAGGACUCUGUGGUCCUCCUUAGAUUAUCAUCAAGGGAGCCCCCCACAGGGGAUGAGGUCAGAAGCUGGGAGAUCGGCUCCAUCCCUGUCACCAUCACCCUGCGAGAGAAGAAGGUGGCCUGCACCAGCGUCAGCGGCGAGCAGUGGUCAGAUUCUGGACAGAGUGACCCCGAAAAAUAAGUACAGUACAGAUACGUAUCUAUGAGCAAGGGAACAUGGUGUCGCUUUCGCAAGACCCUUCCCUGACAUGUCUCCCAGGGCUGGCGGCAGGGCGGGCACCUUUUGAGCUCAGUUGGGCCCCACGCAUUGGUGUGAAGCAGGAUGAGCGUCCGGGGCAACCCCAUUCAUGAGAGCCGCAGUCUGGAAACCUCCAGGAUGUUCAGCAGCAGCAUGAGCGGAGCAGGUUGGACACUACCGACAAGAAGAAGGAGCAGUGACAGCCACCUGCCACUGGGGCGGGUCUCGCAGGCGUCAAGGGCAGCGGCAGGAGAAACUGCACAGAGAAGCCUUGACAUAAAGAUCCUGGGGAGGCAGGAGUCCAGAGUAGUGUUGAAGUCAGGUGCCCGAGGGAGGGAGGGAGGCUGGGCUGGGCAGGGCCCCCGCGUGCUGGGUCCCUGUGCUGGGCCCCUGCGAUCGCAGCCCUCUUCCGUGUGCACGUCAGACUUCAGUCAAAAAGUGGCUUCAAGGAAGGUUUCGUUAUUUUAAUAUACAGCUCAUUAUUAUUUUUAGAAAUCUGUGUUUAUGCCUCUAAAAAAAAAAAAUGCCUGGAAGGAUGUUCAAUGACAUACUUGACUAGAGGUUCUCUCUGGGGGAUAAGAUGAUGGGUGAGGGUUUUUUUUCCCCCUUUGUGCAGAGAGUUUCUAAAAUCUUCUCUAUAUAUUUGUGAUUUGCAUUUAUUAGCAGUCGGAUGCGGCAAGGGCUUUCUCCCGUCGCGGAUACCAAAGAACUCGGAAAUCCAGCCUAAUCAAGCAUGUCUAGAAUAAAGAGGAAUAUUUGUUAAUUGAA